RNAcentral lists this small nucleolar RNA (146 nucleotides) under Heterocephalus glaber (naked mole-rat). RNAcentral describes it as "Small nucleolar RNA SNORA79 (ENSHGLG00100051454.1)". It matches the Rfam family "Small nucleolar RNA SNORA79". Rfam says of the family: ACA65 (SNORA79) is a member of the H/ACA class of snoRNAs that guide the sites of modification of uridines to pseudouridines. This snoRNA was identified by computational screening and its expression in mouse experimentally verified by Northern blot and primer extension analysis. Lineage: Eukaryota; Metazoa; Chordata; Mammalia; Rodentia; Bathyergidae. The record is from RNAcentral.
UGAUGACUGUUCCUCCUAUUGCUUUGAGGGCUGGCAUUAGGAUUUUAAGUCAUCAUAAAUUGAAAUUUGAUUUUUCUUCACUCAGAGAAUAUUAGGAUAAUGGGAUUAUCUGUCUAUUCUCUGAAAUUUUGCGGAAUCAAACAAUU